UAAAAUACAACAUUUUCGAGCAUUUUCAAAUUGUUAAUGGAAAAACUUAAUUAUUAAUAAAAAAAAAUUUUAGUUUCUCAAUUGUUAACUUCUUACCUUCCAAGUAAUUUGACUAUACAUUAAUAGUUAAUUCCAAAGAUAUUUCUUUUUAUAUGCCUAUAAAUAAUAAAUUAUGACUAGUAGACAUUAGAACUAGCUUUUAAGUACCUGAUCAAUACUAAGCUGACCUAAGGAUUUAGCAAAAAAAACCUUUUCACAAAGUACAUUGAUCUCUGUCUUUGACAUUCUCAAUAUAACUUCCUACAACACUCAUCGUCUUCGAUUUCAUUUCCGCCUCGAAUUUCACGCUUAAUAUUCAUCUUAAUCCUAUUUCAACCAAAAACUUUUCAAAGAUUAAGGGAUUUUCACACGUACACGCGUAAUUCCUGUCAAUGUUUUGCCCGGUCUAGAUAGACGUAUGCUCGGUGAUUUCUCUUACGAGAAAGGGACGAAGAGAAGGUGAAAUGACGAAGGGUGCAAAUAUUGUGCACCGUUGUCGCAAUAUUAUCGUUUCGAAAAGACGCACACACCAGCUCGGGCCACGCUUUAUACUCGUGGGUUCGCUUGCAAACAGAUAACGUGCGACCCCGAGUGGUUUACCGGCUAGUCCUGUUUGGCUUACGGCUUACGAAGAUAUCCCACCACCUCCAGGAACACGCGUUGCUUGUAUAGGAUCAUCAUAGGAGAAAACUCGCGAGUUCAACUGGAGAUCGGUAUCGUGUCAACUUCUACGAAAGAACAAAGAGAUUUUCUCUAGAAUGGAAGAAAUAGUUUUUAAAGUCGACCUUCAUACUCCAGAAAAAUGUUAAACCAUGCGACAAUUUCCUAGACACCAGUUGAUACAUCGUGGACCUUUUUCUGUUUUCCAUAAUACCCGUGAAAAUCUGGAGCAGUCCCGUUUCUUUUUCCUUUGCAUACCUUUGACCAUUUCUAUGGGAAUUACUCCAGUGAUUUGUUGCUUCUGUCGUGGAAAUCGAAAAACAGAAUACGAACAUGGAAUAUCACCCAUCGACGCGAUAUGGCUUGUUUGUAUAUUUCGACACUCGGAAUGAAGAUGGGAUUUGUAUCGAGAAUCGAUCGAUAUCGCUACAAUGCUCUCAAUAUUGUGGAAACAAUUCUAAUGUUUCGUAAAUCUUGUAAAGAUUUAAAAAAGAUAUCGUAAUAAAAUGUUAAAUAAAAAAUCUGGAGAAAUUAUAGCGUGAUAGAUUUAAGAGACCAUUGCUAUAUAAAUUUUGAUCACGAUAUCAAUUUUGAUAUUUGCAAAGAAAUAAAUGAUAAUCGUAAUAAAGAAAAAAGAAACAAAAGGAAUAAAAUAUUUAAAAAUUUCUUAAAAAUUGAAACAACCCAAAGUUUCACCAUAUCGAAGACUCUCUAUCUCUUUUUCUCCAUGUUUCGAGUCCUUUCUUUUUGGUUAAACAAACGAAAGAAAAGAAAUUUCUUUCUUUAGGAAAUAUUUUAUGCGUGCACCGAAUUUUUGAAAACCGGUAAAGAACAGAAUCGCAUUGAACACGAGGGUGAAAGUACAAGUACCGAAAAGACAGUUAGUUUUGGUUCGUAGGAUCCCUUCGUCCGCACACCUCGAACGAGAAGCAUGCAAAUACGACGGACUCGUCAAAGGGACGAAGAGUCAUUCGAAAAUAUAUAAUUCAGACCGUAAAUGGCCCUCUUACGGACUGGUAAAACGGUUAACUUUUAACGUGACCGGCUUAGGUAUGGAACCUUGGAAAGCGUAGUUUCCAUGCGAAAGGAAAAAGAAGCGACGAAAAGUGUAGGACAGAUCGCAUUAUCCUUUGAUAAAACGACUUCUUGGCGGGCUAAAGGUGGCGGAGGGGAGAGAGAAGGGUGAAGGGAAGGAGGAAAAAUGCGAAACUCGUUAUUAAGAAAACGAAUCAUAAUGGAAGGUGCUUGAAAGAUUGAUGGGACAAAGGACGAGGAGAUAGAAGUUGGUGUAAAAGUUGGCUCUCUGUAUAAUUUUAUACAGGGCCUAAGAAUCAGGAUGAGGCUGGUGUUAAACGUUCCGUUUGAUCGAUGUGAAUGUUGAAGAAUAAAAUUUCUUAACGGAAUUUUUAAGG
This 2111-nucleotide long non-coding RNA is filed under the name Apis dorsata (giant honeybee). RNAcentral describes it as "uncharacterized LOC116185344, transcript variant X1". Lineage: Eukaryota; Metazoa; Arthropoda; Insecta; Hymenoptera; Apidae. The record is from RNAcentral.